GCAAAGAGUUGCUAAUUGUGCACAUGUGAGGUUUGAGAUCACAUUCACAUGCGAAUUGCUAACUUACUUGCAACACGUUUGGUUGGCAUGAAUAGCCAAACUAUUCUUGGAUGAUUCGGUGAUAAGCAGCUAUUCAUUAGUUUGGUUCACCGAAUCCUCCAUUCGACAGAAUUUCAUUCAUCUCCCAUUUCGCCUCCUCCCGUAAUAGCCAUUCCCCACCUGAUCUAAAGAAUAGCAAUACAGAGCCUCCACCGAAUAAGAAAAAAAAACAUAACCUCCCAUUCUUUCCCUUUGCCACUUUCCCUCAGCAAACACCUUAAGCCACUACACCCCAACCCUGUCUCCUAGUUCUCGUUUAGCUAUUCUCAUCCCACGACCAUCAUCGACAGAGAUCUCGACAUUGUAAAAAGCUUUCCCAAAUUUGAGACAACUAAGGCUCACAUGCUCAAACUUGUGAUACUUUGGAGGGCAACAGUGGUGGUCAAUCAUGUAUGCUCGGCCCAUCAGAAGACAAUAUCAUGGACACUGUGGGAGUCAUUUAUGUUGACACUGAAGGAGAUAUAGCAUAGAAGCCUCCAGCAGUGGUAUUGCACUGAAGGUUCCAGGAAAUCCUCCAAAACUGAAAGCUAUAGAAAUUGCAACUGCGUACUCAUCCUUGUCUUUUGGGAUAGGAUAUUUUGGAAGUGGCAUGGAAAGGCCUAAGGUUUCUAUUCUUAGGAGAAGUAAACAGCAGAAUAGAAAUGGAAUCGAUCAUUUUGAAGCUCGAGUUGAUGUUUCUACAUGUCUGAUUUUUGUUUAACCUAUUUUUUCAAGGAUAAAUUAUCAUAUCAAAUCAAAUCUCUCCAAUUUACUUAGUUUAUUUGGGAGUAUAUGUAGUACUAUAAAAGAAACCUAUCCCCUUCGAGAUUGCCAUUUAAUGGCUAAUAUUGAUGAAUAAAAGUUAAAAGUGAUCAAA
Molecule: long non-coding RNA, 955 nt
Organism: Gossypium arboreum
Lineage: Eukaryota; Viridiplantae; Streptophyta; Magnoliopsida; Malvales; Malvaceae
Exons: 4
Source: RefSeq, a predicted model, not a curated record